Molecule: ribosomal RNA, 468 nt
Filed under: uncultured bacterium
Lineage: Bacteria
Description: partial 16S ribosomal RNA
Rfam family: Bacterial small subunit ribosomal RNA
Source: RNAcentral
GACGAACGCUGGCGGCGUGCUUAACACAUGCAAGUCGAACGGAAAGGCCCUGCUUUUGUGGGGUGCUCGAGUGGCGAACGGGUGAGUAACACGUGAGUAACCUGCCCUUGACUUUGGGAUAACUUCAGGAAACUGGGGCUAAUACCGGAUAGGAGCUCCUGCUGCAUGGUGGGGGUUGGAAAGUUUCGGCGGUUGGGGAUGGACUCGCGGCUUAUCAGCUUGUUGGUGGGGUAGUGGCUUACCAAGGCUUUGACGGGUAGCCGGCCUGAGAGGGUGACCGGCCACACUGGGACUGAGAUACGGCCCAGACUCCUACGGGACGCAGCAGUGGGGUAUAUUGCACAAUGGGCGGAAGCCUGACGCAGUAACGCCGCGUGCGGGAUGACGGCCUUCGGGUUGUAAUCCGCUUUCGCCUGUGACGAAGCGUGAGUGACGGUAAUGGGUAAAGAAGCACCGGCUAACUACGUG